Molecule: ribosomal RNA, 253 nt
Filed under: uncultured bacterium
Lineage: Bacteria
Description: partial 16S ribosomal RNA
Rfam family: Bacterial small subunit ribosomal RNA
Source: RNAcentral
UACAGAGGGUGCGAGCGUUAAUCGGAAUUACUGGGCGUAAAGCGCGCGUAGGCGGUUUUGUAAGUCGGGUGUGAAAUCCCCAAGCUUAACUUGGGAACUGCAUUCGAGACUGCAUAGCUAGAGUAUGGGAGAGGGAAGUGGAAUUUCAGGUGUAGCGGUGAAAUGCGUAGAUAUCUGAAGGAACAUUAGUGGCGAACGCGAAUUCGUGGACCAAUACUGACGCUCAUGUGCGCAAGCGUGGGGAGCAAACAGG